Long non-coding RNA from Ictalurus punctatus (channel catfish), 2471 nucleotides. NCBI's taxonomy places the organism in Eukaryota, Metazoa, Chordata, Actinopteri, Siluriformes, Ictaluridae. The record is from Ensembl.
UGUACACAAACACACCUAUCGUAAAUGUUGGAAGGUGUAUUGGUGCUUUGUUCUCUCCUGUCCCGUGUCUCUCUCUCUGCUUGUCUUGCUUUGCUCUGGAGUUCAUCAUUUUCCUUCUUCACUUUACUCAGCUCUGUACAUAGAGCUUGGUUUUGACUUUGCAAUUUAGCCAAUGUCUUACUCCAGUGCAGGUCGUCUGCAGGAGUUACUGGAGCUUCCUGCUGUCCGGCAGGACUGACGUUCCUCUUUAAAAGAAUUUGCUGAUCUGGCUGAGAUCCUGAUUUCUGAAGCCCCUGCUGACCCCGAUACCUCCCCGUCUGAUAACGGAUUCAUUUGAACAACCGCUUCUCGUAGGCCGAGGAUCCUCCUGAGGCGUUUGGCUUCCCGCUCCAGUUGGUCCAGUCUGCUAGUGAGCACAGAUCGGUCUGGACUUUCCAGCCGGAGCAAAGGGCGGGACUGCCUGCUGGUACGGCUAAGAGGAGGAACCACCACGGUCUGAGCGGGUGGCAGAGGGUGAGACCACGCCAUGGAGGGAUGAGGUGCGAUGGGGUGAGGCCAGCCUGGGGGGCUAAUGGUAAGUUUUGGCUGGUCUUUAGUCUGUGGGCCUUGUGCCACUUGCUGCUCUGAAGGACUCGGGUUAGCAGCGCUCUCUGUGUCAGGAGACACUGCAGGACUUUUACCCUCUUCCGUAGCGUUGCUCAUGGUCUGGUCCUUAUUGCUGUUUGUCUCCAACACUUCCAGAGUUUUUUCCAUCACCUGUUCCUCUGACUCUGUUGCAGUAGUUGAUAUCUCUUUUUCAGAGUCAGUGCGUUUUGGUGAUUUGCUGUCGAUUUCAUUGUUCGUCCAUGUCGCUUUUCUUUUGUUGCUAGAGAUGAGAAAGUUAAAAUGAUGAAGAAUUCAUAAUGGAUACAUUUUGUGAAUAAUCAUGUCCUUCAGGUAAAUCUAUCUAUAUAUAUAUAUAUAUAUAUAUAUAUAUAUAUAUAUAUAUAUAUAUAUAGUACAUUUUUGUUCUUCAUAUAUUCGCGUUAAAGGAAUACUCCAGCAUUUUUCCACUUGAUUUAUUGCGUAUGUAGUGCAUGUGCGACUACCAUUCACAAGAAUUUGGACACGUAUCUCUGUACUGAAAGCGAUCAGAUAUGUGUAUUGCAUAAAAUGUAAAAUAGAACAACGUUAACAAUUGCCUUAGAACUUGGAGUAAACAGGUUUUGUGUUCCUUUUAGAGAUGUAACGGUAUGAACAUUUCAUAUCAUGGUUAUCGUGACCAAAACUAUCAUGGUUAUCAGUAUUAUCACGGUAUUGUUAAAUUGUGCUGAAAAUGUACAAAAAGUACUGAUACACACACUGAAAUCAUUUAAACAGGACCUGAUGCCCCUCUUUUGAAGCGACUUUCUACUAUAAAGUUCUACAGGCAGGCUUACCAUCUUCUAUUAAGCUUCCCUCAGCAUUUUUAUAAAAUCCAAAAUACGACCACACUUCGGAUUUGGCCCUCUUAGAAGGUUGGGAAAUCUCCCGAGCGCCGUCACUGCCUUCCGCCAUGUUUUCACGCUAAAAAAAAACGACGACGUUGAAUGCUGCGCCUGGGUCAGACUCAUACUGGGUGUGCGUGGACAGCGUUUACCGCGAGUUUUACAUAUCAGGAUAAUCGCGCAUGGUUUUAAUGCGACACUGUAAUACUAGCCGUCGGGGAGUUUUAUCAUGAAACCGGUAACCAUUUCAUCCCUAGUUCCUUUCCCAAGUAAAGCAAAGCGUCCGAAAUUUUGCUUGUCACAUACACUCCAAUAUGAAUGAAUAUGGAUUAGUUCUUGGUGGAAAAAAGCCUGGAACAUUCCUUUAAGUAUUAUUGUAUAUGUUCAUAUCAGUGAUGUGAACUGUAGCUGUAAACUGGUGAUAGAGUAUUGAGAUGCAGGUGUCAGACCGAUGGGAAUGUGAGGAUGGUGUGGAUUCGUCAGCUUUGCUCUCAGUCUCUGCCUCUAUGGUAAUAACAGUUUCAUCCGGUGUGGUUUCUGAGGUGGGCUCAGAUGCCUCUUUGCAGUCAUGAAGGGCUGGGCCUUUAUCACUCUUAAAAAUACACACACAUGCACACACAGGAGUAUGAGUUAAAAUAAAUAUUAACUCUGAGAGCACACUGAAAAAGUUUCACAAGCUUGUCUAAUUUUAAUCUGUACAAGAGGAAAUGAGUGACCAGCAUGACUUAAACAAAAGGUCAAAAAAGAAACAAACAAACAAAAAAAAACAACACAACCCAAUGCCAUAACUGAAUGCUUCUGUUAAUACUUCUAUGCAGAUGCACACACACAUACACAACAUGUUUCACUUUGUACGUUGCCAUAUGCAGUACUGUGAAAAAGUCUUAGGCACCCUAUUUGUUUUUAGUACAACCUUUGUUAGAGCUUUUUUUAUUUUUUAUUUUAUGACUUCUUCAUUAUCGAGUCAGUACAAAAAACAUUUUAGAUUCCCAAACAUUAGUUUUC